GACGAACGCUGGCGGCGCGCUUAACACAUGCAAGUCGAACGGAAAGGCCUGCUUUCCCUUGUGGAUUGCGGGUACUCGAGUGGCGAACGGGUGAGUAACACGUGAGUGAUCUGCCCCCAACUUGGGUAUAAGCCUGGGAAACUGGGUCUAAUUCCCGAUAGGACUGCAGGGUGGUGCCUGUGGUGGAAAACGAUUUUCUAGUGGUUGGGGAUGAGCUCGCGGCCUAUCAGCUUGUUGGUGGGGUAAUGGCCUACCAAGGCGGCGACGGGUAGCCGGCCUGAGAGGGUGGACGGCCACAUUGGGACUGGGUUACGGCCCAGACGCCUACGGGAGGCAGCAGUGGGGAAUAUUGCACCAUGGGCGGAAGCCUGAUGCAGCGACGCCGCGUGGGGGAUGACGGCCUUCGGGUUGUAAACUCCUUGCGACCGCGAGGAAGCCACCUGGUUGGAAGGGUGGUGACGGUAGUGGUAGAAGAAGCACCGGCUAACUACGUG
This 494-nucleotide ribosomal RNA is filed under the name uncultured bacterium. Its description in RNAcentral is "partial 16S ribosomal RNA". It matches the Rfam family "Bacterial small subunit ribosomal RNA", at positions 28 to 507 of the family's 1533-position model. The record is from RNAcentral.